Molecule: ribosomal RNA, 1170 nt
Filed under: Bacillus sp. (in: firmicutes)
Lineage: Bacteria; Bacillati; Bacillota; Bacilli; Caryophanales; Bacillaceae
Description: bacterial SSU rRNA
Rfam family: Bacterial small subunit ribosomal RNA
Source: RNAcentral
GCGGGGUGCCUAUACAUGCAAGUCGAGCGGACAGAUGGGAGCUUGCUCCCUGAUGUUAGCGGCGGACGGGUGAUUAACACGUGGGUAACCUGCCUGUAAGACUGGGAUAACUCCGGGAAACCGGGGCUAAUACCGGAUGGUUGUUUGAACCGCAUGGUUCAGACAUAAAAGGUGGCUUCGGCUACCACUUACAGAUGGACCCGCGGCGCAUUAGCUAGUUGGUGAGGUAACGGCUCACCAAGGCGACGAUGCGUAGCCGACCUGAGAGGGUGAUCGGCCACACUGGGACUGAGACACGGCCCAGACUCCUACGGGAGGCAGCAGUAGGGAAUCUUCCGCAAUGGACGAAAGUCUGACGGAGCAACGCCGCGUGAGUGAUGAAGGUUUUCGGAUCGUAAAGCUCUGUUGUUAGGGAAGAACAAGUGCCGUUCAAAUAGGGCGGCACCUUGACGGUACCUAACCAGAAAGCCACGGCUAACUACGUGCCAGCAGCCGCGGUAAUACGUAGGUGGCAAGCGUUGUCCGGAAUUAUUGGGCGUAAAGGGCUCGCAGGCGGUUUCUUAAGUCUGAUGUGAAAGCCCCCGGCUCAACCGGGGAGGGUCAUUGGAAACUGGGGAACUUGAGUGCAGAAGAGGAGAGUGGAAUUCCACGUGUAGCGGUGAAAUGCGUAGAGAUGUGGAGGAACACCAGUGGCGAAGGCGACUCUCUGGUCUGUAACUGACGCUGAGGAGCGAAAGCGUGGGGAGCGAACAGGAUUAGAUACCCUGGUAGUCCACGCCGUAAACGAUGAGUGCUAAGUGUUAGGGGGUUUCCGCCCCUUAGUGCUGCAGCUAACGCAUUAAGCACUCCGCCUGGGGAGUACGGUCGCAAGACUGAAACUCAAAGGAAUUGACGGGGGCCCGCACAAGCGGUGGAGCAUGUGGUUUAAUUCGAAGCAACGCGAAGAACCUUACCAGGUCUUGACAUCCUCUGACAAUCCUUAGAGAUAGGACGUCCCCUUCGGGGGCAGAGUGACAGGUGGUGCAUGGUUGUCGUCAGCUCGUGUCGUGAGAUGUUGGGUUAAGUCCCGCAACGAGCGCAACCCUUGAUCUUUAUUUGCAGCAUUCAGUUGGGGCCCCUCUUUAAGGUGACCUUGCCGGGGGUGAACCAAACCCGGGAGGGGAAGGGGUG